Myripristis murdjan (pinecone soldierfish) is the source of this 433-nucleotide long non-coding RNA. RefSeq lists it as uncharacterized. NCBI's taxonomy places the organism in Eukaryota, Metazoa, Chordata, Actinopteri, Holocentriformes, Holocentridae. The transcript is spliced from 4 exons. The record is from RefSeq and is a predicted model, not a curated record.
GAAGGAAAGGAGAAGGCAGUGAAGGAAAGGAAAGGAGGAGGCAGUGGAGGAAAGAAGGUGAUAGGGAAGGAAUGAAUGAGUUUUUGAAGUAAAGGAGUGAAGGAAAUGAGGUAGGGAAGGGAAGGAGGAGGUAAGUGAAGGAAAGAAGGUGAUAGGGAAGGAAUGAAUGAGUUUUUGAAGGAAAGGAGGUAGAGAAGGAAAAGAGGAGGAAGCAGAGAAGGAAAGGAGAAGGCAGUGAAGGAAAGGUGGAUGUAGUGAAUGAAAAGGUAGGAGAGGAGGAAAGGAUGUAGUGAAGGAAAAAGACGGUGAAGGAAAGCAGGAAGCAGUGAAGGAAAGGAAAGGAGGCAGUGAAGGAAAGAAGUUGAUAGGGAAGGAAUGAAUGAAUUCUUGAAGGAAAGGAGGUAGAAAAGGAAAUGAGACUGAAGGAAAAGAG